GGCAUGUCAGUAACUGAUAGUAGACCUUUGAUAAUUUAUGUAUCAUUGUCAUUUUGAUUUGUUUCUAUUCUUGGUGACCUUCGGCUGAUUUCUGCUCUUUGGUCGGGUUGUUGUCUCUUUGACAUAUUCCCCAUUUCCAUUCUAAAUUUUAUAAUGACAAGAUGUAUAAAAUCAGAGCUGCGUCACAUGUCUCAAAGAAACACAAAAAGGCAUAUACAGACAAAGAAUAUUGGCAAAAAUGAAAAUCAAGAAUACAAAAAUUAUCAUAAAACAAUUUAGCAAUGGCGGCAUGUAUAAGUACUCAGCACCGUUAUGUGUAUCAAACAGUACUAAACAGUGACCUGUAACACGUUAUAAAGAUGAUAAACAACAUUAUUACCCAGAUUCUAUACUUCAAGGUUGCAUU
Molecule: long non-coding RNA, 406 nt
Filed under: Mytilus galloprovincialis (Mediterranean mussel)
Lineage: Eukaryota; Metazoa; Mollusca; Bivalvia; Mytilida; Mytilidae
Source: RNAcentral